Molecule: small nucleolar RNA, 142 nt
Organism: Lotus japonicus
Lineage: Eukaryota; Viridiplantae; Streptophyta; Magnoliopsida; Fabales; Fabaceae
Product: small nucleolar RNA snoR136
Exons: 1
Source: RefSeq, a predicted model, not a curated record
UUGGCUUCAAUUUAUAUGAGGUUUUUGCUUACACCUUUUUAGUUGUGUUUGGCAAUGUUGAAUUGAAGCUGAGAGUUGUGUUCCCCUCGCUAUCCGAUGCUGCAAUAUUGAUGCUUCAUUUGGACGUCGGGGAACAAAAUCU